CGGGGUGAGUAACACGUGAGCAACCUGCCUUCAGAGGGGAUAACGUUUGGAAACGAACGCUAAUACCGCAUAACAUAUACGAACGGCAUCGUUCAUAUAUCAAAGGAGUAAUCCGCUGAGAGAUGGGCUCGCGUCCGAUUAGCUAGAUGGUGAGGUAACGGCCCACCAUGGCUUCGAUCGGUAGCCGGACUGAGAGGUUGACCGGCCACAUUGGGACUGAGACACGGCCCAGACUCCUACGGAAGGCAGCAG
RNAcentral lists this ribosomal RNA (252 nucleotides) under uncultured bacterium. RNAcentral describes it as "partial 16S ribosomal RNA". It matches the Rfam family "Bacterial small subunit ribosomal RNA", at positions 100 to 354 of the family's 1533-position model. The record is from RNAcentral.